ACCCUCAAUGGCCUGGUAACCGGGCUGUUGCUGUUCAUGCUGGCCAGCGGAUUGACGCUGAUCUUUUCGAUGAUGGGGGUGC
This 82-nucleotide transfer RNA is filed under the name uncultured Pseudomonadales bacterium. Its description in RNAcentral is "tRNA-Met(cat)". The record is from RNAcentral. Lineage: Bacteria; Pseudomonadati; Pseudomonadota; Gammaproteobacteria; Pseudomonadales.